CUGAUUUCAACGCAUGUUAACUAGAAAUGUUGACACAUGUUACCUCGUGAUUUGUAAUGUAUGUGUAAUAUAAAUGCUACAUUACGCUUCAGAGGUACGGUGUUGGCAUACAAAUGCUUGAAUGGCUACGCUUCUGAAUAUUUAAUGGAAAGGUUCAUUGCAAGAUCUAGAUUGCAAAUAGAUGAACGCGUCACAAGAAACAAGGAAAUGGGAUACUCUGAAUGUACCUUUUUAUCGAACAGCGACAGGUCAACGCUCGUUUUUGUUCAGAGCAGUAAAGUUGUCAGUUGUGGAAUGACUUGCCUGGCAAUGCUAAAUCUGGGAACAAUUUGAGGAACGUUUAAAAAUAGCAUUAAAAACAUC
Non-coding RNA from Paramuricea clavata, 363 nucleotides. The record is from the annotation of a GenBank genome assembly. Lineage: Eukaryota; Metazoa; Cnidaria; Anthozoa; Malacalcyonacea; Plexauridae.